UACAGAGGGUGCAAGCGUUGUUCGGAUUUACUGGGCGUAAAGCGUGCGUAGGCGGCAUUGAGAGUCGCAGGUGAAAUCCCCAAGCUUAACUUGGGAACUGCCCGCGAGACCUCAAUGCUAGAGUGUGAGAGGGGAUGGUGGAAUUCCAGGUGUAGCGGUGAAAUGCGUAGAGAUCUGGAGGAACACCGGCGGCGAAGGCGGCCAUCUGGCUCACAACUGACGCUCAGGCACGAAAGCGUGGGUAGCAAAC
Molecule: ribosomal RNA, 250 nt
Filed under: uncultured bacterium
Lineage: Bacteria
Description: partial 16S ribosomal RNA
Rfam family: Bacterial small subunit ribosomal RNA
Source: RNAcentral